UAUGUGAACGUUUCAUGAGGU
RNAcentral lists this non-coding RNA (21 nucleotides) under Caenorhabditis elegans. Lineage: Eukaryota; Metazoa; Nematoda; Chromadorea; Rhabditida; Rhabditidae. The record is from RNAcentral.